AUACGGGGGGUGCAAGCGUUAUUCGGAAUCACUGGGCGUAAAGGGUGCGUAGGCGGUUUGAUAAGUCUGAUGUGAAAUCCUAUGGCUCAACCAUAGAACUGCAUUGGAAACUGUCAGACUAGAAUACUGAAGGGGCAGAUGGAAUUAGUGGUGUAGGGGUAAAAUCCGUAGAUAUCACUAGGAAUACCGAAAGCGAAAGCGAUCUGCUGGGAAGUUAUUGACGCUGAGGCACGAAAGCGUGGGGAGCAAACGGGAUUAGAAACCCCUGUAGUCC
Molecule: ribosomal RNA, 274 nt
Filed under: uncultured bacterium
Lineage: Bacteria
Description: partial 16S ribosomal RNA
Rfam family: Bacterial small subunit ribosomal RNA
Source: RNAcentral